AUUGAACGCUGGCGGCAUGCCUUACACAUGCAAGUCGAACGGCAGCACGGGAGCUUGCUCCUGGUGGCGAGUGGCGAACGGGUGAGUAAUACAUCGGAACGUACCCAGUAGUGGGGGAUAACGCACCGAAAGGUGCGCUAAUACCGCAUACGACCUAAGGGUGAAAGCGGGGGACCGUAAGGCCUCGCGCUAUUGGAGCGGCCGAUGUCUGAUUAGCUAGUUGGCGGGGUAAUAGCCCACCAAGGCGACGAUCAGUAGCUGGUCUGAGAGGACGAUCAGCCACACUGGGACUGAGACACGGCCCAGACUCCUACGGGAGGCAGCAGUGGGGAAUUUUGGACAAUGGGGGCAACCCUGAUCCAGCAAUGCCGCGUGUGCGAAGAAGGCCUUCGGGUUGUAAAGCACUUUUGUCAGGGAAGAAAUCUUUCAGGCUAAUACCCUUGGAAGGAUGACGGUACCUGAAGAAUAAGCACCGGCUAACUACGCGCCAGCAGCCGCAGUAA
RNAcentral lists this ribosomal RNA (503 nucleotides) under uncultured bacterium. RNAcentral describes it as "partial 16S ribosomal RNA". It matches the Rfam family "Bacterial small subunit ribosomal RNA", at positions 30 to 523 of the family's 1533-position model. The record is from RNAcentral.